This 254-nucleotide ribosomal RNA is filed under the name uncultured bacterium. RNAcentral's name for it is "partial 16S ribosomal RNA". It matches the Rfam family "Bacterial small subunit ribosomal RNA", at positions 524 to 776 of the family's 1533-position model. The record is from RNAcentral.
GACGUAGGGCGCGAGCGUUGUCCAGAUUUAUUGGGCGUAAAGAGCUCGUAGGCGGCUUGUUGCGUCGACUGUGAAAACCUGCGGCUCAACCGUGUGGUCUGCAGUCGAUACGGGCAGGCUGGAGUUCGGUGGGGGAGACUGGAAUUCCUGGUGUAGCGGUGAAAUGCGCAGAUAUCAGGAGGAACACCGGUGGCGAAGGCGGGUCUCUGGGCCGAUACUGACGCUGAGGAGCGAAAGCGUGGGGAGCGAACAGG